This 253-nucleotide ribosomal RNA is filed under the name uncultured bacterium. RNAcentral's name for it is "partial 16S ribosomal RNA". It matches the Rfam family "Bacterial small subunit ribosomal RNA", at positions 524 to 776 of the family's 1533-position model. The record is from RNAcentral.
UACGUAGGGUGCGAGCGUUAAUCGGAAUUACUGGGCGUAAAGCGGGCGCAGACGGCUCGUUAAGCAAGAUGUGAAAUCCCCGGGCUCAACCUGGGAACUGCGUUUGGAACUGGCAGGCUGGAGUGGGUCAGAGGGGGGUAGAAUUCCCCGUGUAGCAGUGAAAUGCGUAGAGAUGUGGAGGAAUACCGAUGGCGAAGGCAGCCCCCUGGGAUCACACUGACGUUCAUGCACGAAAGCGUGGGGAGCAAACAGG